GGGAGUUUGGCCGAGUGGUCUAAGGCGCCAGAUUUAGGUAUUCUGGUAUCUUCGGAUGCGAGGGUUCGAACCCCUCAGCUCUCA
This is a non-coding RNA of Naumovozyma dairenensis CBS 421, 84 nucleotides long. Lineage: Eukaryota; Fungi; Ascomycota; Saccharomycetes; Saccharomycetales; Saccharomycetaceae. The record is from the annotation of a RefSeq genome assembly.